This 2954-nucleotide long non-coding RNA is filed under the name Cucumis sativus (cucumber). RNAcentral describes it as "long non-coding RNA (CSAT_LNC001443)". The record is from RNAcentral. Lineage: Eukaryota; Viridiplantae; Streptophyta; Magnoliopsida; Cucurbitales; Cucurbitaceae.
UCAUUGAAUAUAGGUUCUUCUUCUAUUUCAAAUGAUGAUGUUAUAAGAGAGAUUUCUUAUCAUGGUGAUUUGAAGAAAAAAGUUUAUUUGAAAGUAAAAAAGUGCUUUCAAAGUGUUUUUGCAUAAUAGCAGUGAAGAACAACUUUCAAUUUAGAACUGCAAUAUCAAAUAUGAGGUCUCUUGAAUUUAGAUGUCUGCAAGAAGAGUGCAAAUGCUAUGUUAAGGCAUCUCGUUAUAAGAAGAGCAAGUUGUGAAUGCUACGAAAAUAUAUUUUUUACCAUGACUGUUCACUGAAUACUACCCAAAGUUGUCACAUGCAAGCUUCUUUAACAGUAAUUGGCAAUUGCUUGAUAGAUGACUUUAGGUUCAUGUCUACUGAUCGUUCCAUUCCAAAAUCAAUUGUGCAUAAGACUCAUACAAAUCUUGGACUAAAUAUAAGUUAUCAAAAAGCUUAAAGGGCAAAAGAACACAUAGUAAAGAUAUUAAAAGGUGAUAUGGUUGAAUCAUACAAGUUGAUUCCAAGCUUCUUUGAUAAAUUGGUUGAAUCUAACCUAGGUACGAUUAGUUUCGUAUAUCAAAUUUAUAUUCAUUUGCAGAUAGGUGGGGAUAAACAAAUAUCGGUGCUAACAUAAAUAUUUUGUAUUUUUUAUAGGUACAUGCACUACUUUAGAGAUGGAUGAUAGAGAUCAUUUUAAGUUUCGCUUUAUGGCUUUUGGUGCAUCAAUUAAGGGUGAAAAUACUGUAGACCUAUCAUUUCUAUUGAUGGCAAGUUUUUGAAGUUUAAGUUUGGUAACCUCCUAUUAAUAGCCUAAUCACAGGAUGGUAACAAUCAAGUCUUCCCUCUUUCUGAAAAUGUAUGAUACAUCAUGGACAUGGUUUUUUUUUAAGGAGAUACGAGGUAGUUUUUCAAAGUGAGAAAAUUUAGUCAUUGUUUCUUAUAGACAUUUUAGCAUCUCUAAAGGAGUUUUAUGAGUGUUUCCUAAUGUUGAGUAUUGUGUGUGCACAAAACAUCUCUUAAAUAACAUGAAACUCCACUUUAUGGAUCCACUACUUGAUAAAUAUUUCUUUAGUUGUGCUUAUGCCUACACCAUUGAUGAAUUUGAAUACCACGUGAGAUGUAUGGAGCCAGUUUGUCCAAUUAUCAGAGGUUAUCUUAGUAAUGUUGGUUUUUAGAAGUGGUCUUAGACAUAUUCACAAAGACGAAGGUACUGAAUGAUGUCAUCAAAUUGUGCAAAAAGUGUAAAUUUAGUGUUUAAAGAUCUUAGAGAACUACUUGUAGCUACCAUGCUUAGUUCAAUUAGAGAUGUAUUACAAAAGUGGUUUAUGAACGAAGUAAAGCUUCUUUUGCAAUGAAGAGUCAUUUGACUUCUUGGGUUGAGAAUGUGUUGCAUUUAGAACAUGAAAAGUGAUAUAUACAAAGAUUGAAAUCUAUUUGUGCAUGUAUAAGAUAAAUACAUAUAGAUAGUUAUCUUUGUCUAUCUGUGCUUAUUUGUACAUAUUUUUCUUCUUUAUUUGUCUUAUGUAUUAAGUUGAUCUAAUUAGUAUCACUGAAUACAAAGUAAUGGAUGCAAAUCAAUAGUUCAUUGUGAAGUUAAACUAUUGAUUAGUAUCUCGCACAUUUCAAAAUUUUACUAUGUGUUCCAAAACCAAAUUUUAUCACAUAAGUCCAAAUGUUUAGGAAGCAUUUUAAGUAUGUAUGUAUUAUCUUGCAUAUAUCUCACACACAUAUCAUACAUUUUAAACUUUAUCUCGCACAUUCCAAAAUUUUAUUAUGCGUUCCAAAAUCAAAUUUUAACCUAUCAUAAGUUCUUUGAAGUGCUUUUAUUCAUGUUUAGGAAACCUUUUAAAAACAUAUGUAUAAUUAUCUCUCACAUAUCUCGCACAUUCCAAACUUUUACUGUGCGUUCCAAGUGUUUUUACACAUGUUUAGAAAGCCUUUUUAAGUACAUGUGUAUUAUCUCGCACACAUUUCAUACACAUCUCACACAGGUCUCACACAUUCCAAACUUUUACUAUGCAUUUCAAAAUCAAAUUUCUAUCUUUCUUAAGUUUUUAGUUACAAAUUUUCAUCUCACAAGCAACAAAAAAAUCAGUAAAUAAUACUUUAAAAUACAACAAAAGUCAAUAAACAUUUUCGUGGAAAAGAUGUAUAACAACUUUUCUUUUCUUAGUCUACUCAUACCAAAUUUUGGCAACCAACAUCAAUUUAAAGAUUAGAAAUUAUAAUUCAGAAAACCAAAAACUCAAAAGAAAAAAUAAUAGAAAUCAAAGAAUAUUUUCUACAAAAAGAACAACUUCCAAAAAAACCAACAAAGAACAAUUCACUAUAAUGGUUGGAGUUUGAGAAAAUUUUCUAAUUUGUAAGAGAAAAUUUUCUAAUUUCUAAUUUCUAGCCGUAGUCAAAUGCAAAAAAGAAACCAUCAAGCAAGUCAUGCCACCAAAUUCUUAAAGAAUAUCAACCCCAAUUGAUUAAUUCUUAAAUAAAAAAUUUUCAAUGAAUUUCUAAUCUAACUCUUAAAUAAAAAAUUUUCAAUCAAUUUCUAAUCUAACUCUUAAAUAAAAAUUUUUCAAUGAAUUUCUUUUUUUUAGAAAUCUAGUUAUAGGCAACGAUGGAAUGAUCAAAUAGAAAAAAACUUGUCACAAAAUUUCACACAAAAAUCUAGAUCUUGACGACAAUGAAGCAAAAAUCAAUAAACAAGAUUUUCGCACCAACUAAAAAUUUAUCACCUACCAAAAGGUUUAGUAACAAAAAGAAAGUUGCCUUACCACGUUAUUCGAACUCCAUGUCAUAUUGUGUCGCCUCUGUUCGAUUUUCUUCACCCUUGGUUCGAAGAUGCUAUGACAUAACAAGAGAGAUAGAGAGAAGAUCACAUAGAAGUGUGGGAGGGAAAGAAUAGUGGGGAGGGGAAGAAUGACGCAAAAAUGGGAAGCACGUUUAAUGAGAGGGAAAGAAU